RNAcentral lists this ribosomal RNA (2904 nucleotides) under Escherichia coli. Its description in RNAcentral is "23S ribosomal RNA". It matches the Rfam family "Bacterial large subunit ribosomal RNA". The record is from RNAcentral. Lineage: Bacteria; Pseudomonadati; Pseudomonadota; Gammaproteobacteria; Enterobacterales; Enterobacteriaceae.
GGUUAAGCGACUAAGCGUACACGGUGGAUGCCCUGGCAGUCAGAGGCGAUGAAGGACGUGCUAAUCUGCGAUAAGCGUCGGUGAGGUGAUAUGAACCGUUAUAACCGGCGAUUUCCGAAUGGGGAAACCCAGUGUGUUUCGACACACUAUCAUUAACUGAAUCCAUAGGUUAAUGAGGCGAACCGGGGGAACUGAAACAUCUAAGUACCCCGAGGAAAAGAAAUCAACCGAGAUUCCCCCAGUAGCGGCGAGCGAACGGGGAGGAGCCCAGAGCCUGAAUCAGUGUGUGUGUUAGUGGAAGCGUCUGGAAAGGCGCGCGAUACAGGGUGACAGCCCCGUACACAAAAAUGCACAUGCUGUGAGCUCGAUGAGUAGGGCGGGACACGUGGUAUCCUGUCUGAAUAUGGGGGGACCAUCCUCCAAGGCUAAAUACUCCUGACUGACCGAUAGUGAACCAGUACCGUGAGGGAAAGGCGAAAAGAACCCCGGCGAGGGGAGUGAAAAAGAACCUGAAACCGUGUACGUACAAGCAGUGGGAGCCUCUUAAUGGGGUGACUGCGUACCUUUUGUAUAAUGGGUCAGCGACUUAUAUUCUGUAGCAAGGUUAACCGAAUAGGGGAGCCGAAGGGAAACCGAGUCUUAACUGGGCGCUAAGUUGCAGGGUAUAGACCCGAAACCCGGUGAUCUAGCCAUGGGCAGGUUGAAGGUUGGGUAACACUAACUGGAGGACCGAACCGACUAAUGUUGAAAAAUUAGCGGAUGACUUGUGGCUGGGGGUGAAAGGCCAAUCAAACCGGGAGAUAGCUGGUUCUCCCCGAAAGCUAUUUAGGUAGCGCCUCGUGAAUUCAUCUCCGGGGGUAGAGCACUGUUUCGGCAAGGGGGUCAUCCCGACUUACCAACCCGAUGCAAACUGCGAAUACCGGAGAAUGUUAUCACGGGAGACACACGGCGGGUGCUAACGUCCGUCGUGAAGAGGGAAACAACCCAGACCGCCAGCUAAGGUCCCAAAGUCAUGGUUAAGUGGGAAACGAUGUGGGAAGGCCCAGACAGCCAGGAUGUUGGCUUAGAAGCAGCCAUCAUUUAAAGAAAGCGUAAUAGCUCACUGGUCGAGUCGGCCUGCGCGGAAGAUGUAACGGGGCUAAACCAUGCACCGAAGCUGCGGCAGCGACACUAUGUGUUGUUGGGUAGGGGAGCGUUCUGUAAGCCUGUGAAGGUGGCCUGUGAGGGUUGCUGGAGGUAUCAGAAGUGCGAAUGCUGACAUAAGUAACGAUAAAGCGGGUGAAAAGCCCGCUCGCCGGAAGACCAAGGGUUCCUGUCCAACGUUAAUCGGGGCAGGGUGAGUCGACCCCUAAGGCGAGGCCGAAAGGCGUAGUCGAUGGGAAACAGGUUAAUAUUCCUGUACUUGGUGUUACUGCGAAGGGGGGACGGAGAAGGCUAUGUUGGCCGGGCGACGGUUGUCCCGGUUUAAGCGUGUAGGCUGGUUUUCCAGGCAAAUCCGGAAAACCAAGGCUGAGGCGUGAUGACGAGGCACUACGGUGCUGAAGCGACAAAUGCCCUGCUUCCAGGAAAAGCCUCUAAGCAUCAGGUAACAUCAAAUCGUACCCCAAACCGACACAGGUGGUCAGGUAGAGAAUACCAAGGCGCUUGAGAGAACUCGGGUGAAGGAACUAGGCAAAAUGGUGCCGUAACUUCGGGAGAAGGCACGCUGAUAUGUAGGUGAAGCGACUUGCUCGUGGAGCUGAAAUCAGUCGAAGAUACCAGCUGGCUGCAACUGUUUAUUAAAAACACAGCACUGUGCAAACACGAAAGUGGACGUAUACGGUGUGACGCCUGCCCGGUGCCGGAAGGUUAAUUGAUGGGGUUAGCGGCAACGCGAAGCUCUUGAUCGAAGCCCCGGUAAACGGCGGCCGUAACUAUAACGGUCCUAAGGUAGCGAAAUUCCUUGUCGGGUAAGUUCCGACCUGCACGAAUGGCGUAAUGAUGGCCAGGCUGUCUCCACCCGAGACUCAGUGAAAUUGAACUCGCUGUGAAGAUGCAGUGUACCCGCGGCAAGACGGAAAGACCCCGUGAACCUUUACUAUAGCUUGACACUGAACAUUGAGCCUUGAUGUGUAGGAUAGGUGGGAGGCUUUGAAGUGUGGACGCCAGUCUGCAUGGAGCCGACCUUGAAAUACCACCCUUUAAUGUUUGAUGUUCUAACGUUGGCCCGUAAUCCGGGUUGCGGACAGUGUCUGGUGGGUAGUUUGACUGGGGCGGUCUCCUCCUAAAGAGUAACGGAGGAGCACGAAGGUUGGCUAAUCCUGGUCGGACAUCAGGAGGUUAGUGCAAUGGCAUAAGCCAGCUUGACUGCGAGCGUGACGGCGCGAGCAGGUGCGAAAGCAGGUCAUAGUGAUCCGGUGGUUCUGAAUGGAAGGGCCAUCGCUCAACGGAUAAAAGGUACUCCGGGGAUAACAGGCUGAUACCGCCCAAGAGUUCAUAUCGACGGCGGUGUUUGGCACCUCGAUGUCGGCUCAUCACAUCCUGGGGCUGAAGUAGGUCCCAAGGGUAUGGCUGUUCGCCAUUUAAAGUGGUACGCGAGCUGGGUUUAGAACGUCGUGAGACAGUUCGGUCCCUAUCUGCCGUGGGCGCUGGAGAACUGAGGGGGGCUGCUCCUAGUACGAGAGGACCGGAGUGGACGCAUCACUGGUGUUCGGGUUGUCAUGCCAAUGGCACUGCCCGGUAGCUAAAUGCGGAAGAGAUAAGUGCUGAAAGCAUCUAAGCACGAAACUUGCCCCGAGAUGAGUUCUCCCUGAGACUUAGAGUCUCCUGAAGGAACGUUGAAGACGACGACGUUGAUAGGCCGGGUGUGUAAGCGCAGCGAUGCGUUGAGCUAACCGGUACUAAUGAACCGUGAGGCUUAACCUU